AAUCAACGCUGGCGGCGUGCCUAACACAUGCAAGUCGAACGAGAAAGGGUGGGUGUAGCAAUACAUUCGCCUGAGUAAAGUGGCGACCGGGUGAGUAACACGUGGUCAACCUACCCUCGAGCGGGGGAUAACCUGGGGAAACUCGGGCUAAUACCGCAUAACGUCCCGAUGGCAUAAGUCAUUGGGACCAAAGGCCCGCAAGGGGUCACUUGGGGAGGGGGCUGCGGCCGAUUAGCUAGAUGGUGAGGUAACGGCCCACCAUGGCCAUGAUCGGUAGCCGGCCUGAGAGGGCGCACGGUCACACUGGCACUGAAAUACGGGCCAGACUCCUACGGGAGGCAGCAGUGGGGAAUUUUGCACAAUGCCCGAAAGGGUGAUGCAGCAACGCCGCGUGAGGGAUGAAGGCC
This 407-nucleotide ribosomal RNA is filed under the name uncultured bacterium. RNAcentral describes it as "bacterial SSU rRNA". It matches the Rfam family "Bacterial small subunit ribosomal RNA", at positions 29 to 416 of the family's 1533-position model. The record is from RNAcentral.